UUUUGUUGUGCAUAGCAUAGCUACCGCAAAAGUGAGUAGUCUUGGGAAUGCUCCCUUAUAACAGGGGAAGAGGAAAGACUCAGAAAUAAAUAUUGUGAUAAUAUGUUUGUGGAUUUGAGCAUAUGGAGAACGAAGCAAAAAAUAACAAUAAAAAUCUUGCAAAUUCAUGCUCUUGUUAUCGUCGCUAAAAUCACGGUUACACCUACACGAUAUUAGCACAGAAUAGAAAAUAUAAAAGGAAUUUGUAGAACAUCCCAAUGCAGUCAAGUAAAAUAGGUUACCACCUACACGAUUGAUUUUAUGUCAUGAAGCUCUAGAAUUUUUCUAUGAAGCACAGGAUUCUAUCGAAGAGCACAAGUGAAAUGGGAAAAAAUAGGUACUUGCAGUACUGCUUCUCUACCACUUUUAUUUUCGUAGUGUUCAACCCUAAAACACUAAAAUCAUGGAUAUAAACUACUUACUAUAGACAAGAAUAAAAUUUGCAAACAUUCUAGGUUGGUACAAAAACGAUCCUAAUGCAGUAUUGGAAUAGGGUACCUCCUUUACGACUGAUGUGGUCUCACGGAGUAGGAUCCUCGGGCACCAAAAUCAAAUAGAAACAGGUUACUUGAGCCUAUAUAGAAAGAUAGAGACAUCACUAAUGAUGAAUACAAUAACUCUCAACUCGGAACAAUUAAACCAGUUUCCAGGUGAACAUUAAGUGAUCAGUUUAAGGAUCUUGCAUGGAAAAUCUAACUGCUACUGCAGUUUAACAUCUAGGAAAAUCUAACUGCUAUUUUAGUUUAACAUCUAGGACAAUGAGAUUCCUUGCAUCUUGAUGUUGCUAGCUGCUAAGUGCUUGUUAUUUCAGUUUAACAUAUUGAAAGAACCAGCAAAGAUCAUGAGAUCCCAAAUUAGGUAAAAAUGGAACAUAUGAAUAAGAGUAACUUGACACAUCUCAGCCAAAAAAUUAAAACCCUAAUAAAUCUACUUUGAUCUAGAACCGAGUGAUGUCUAGUUGCAGUCCCCAACGAGAUUAAUCUCUGACCCCUGAUACUUUUAUAUUUCUAGAGAGAUUGGUAUUCUGUUUCAUAUAUGAACCAUCAUGAUUUUCAAUUAACAGACAUCUCUCAUAGACUUGUACCAUGAACCAUAAAUGAAAGAGGCGGACAUCGUUCUACCCCUCACGUGCUACAAACCACAUCCAUGUUAACCAAAUGGUGUUACAACUUGCAAGGUUAAUUUCCCGUUUCCAUAGAAAGACACUAAAUUAAGUAUUAACUGGAAACUACAAGCACAUAUAGGAAGUUACUCUUAUUAGAUCAGUUACAUUCAUCUGCUUGUUUUCCAUGUGUGAAAUAUCUAGUGCCCCAAUGUGACUUUAUAUGUCUAAGAAUGUAAGAAGUAUAUUAAUUUUGAAAUACACUAACAAUAGUCAUAACUGAAAACACAGAAAACACACUGCUAGACACACAAAAUAGGAAGCCAAGUACGUACACAAGAACUAUGUAGAGUCUUGACAAAGUGGUUUUGUCAUGUAAUCAGUAUUUAGCAAUUAUUUUUGUACACAGAAUAGGAAGGCACCAAUUUGAACACACAAGAUUCUGAUCUGGAAUAGCUGGAAGCCUGCAGACCAUAGAUAUGACAAAUAAAAUCCACACAAAAAUUCUAGAUGUAAGUUGUAUCAUUUUUAGGCAAAACAUAUGAAACAAUCAAGGCAAUGGUCUGAAAGGUGUAGUUUCUAUGCUAUUAUUGAAAGGUCAGAGGAAUCAUUGUUAUUUGGUAUUUUCUAAGAUGGAUUCAUUUAUAUUUUUUUAUAAUGAAUUCAUAUACGCUACAUAGUAUUGGUUUCUUUUAGUUUUGGGUAUUUUUUAUUAUGAAUUCCUAGUGAGACUUUCUUGUGCAUUGGCUUACUAUGUUAGCUCUUUCUACUCUUUCGCGCUCAAUAAAAGAUUGUACAUAAUAGUAUGAUAGGGAUUGGCGAUUGAUGACAGUACAAGAUUUUAUUGUUUUGCAAAAAAACUAAAGUGAUUGACCACCAUCUUAACCCAGUUUCCAGGUGAACAUUAAAUGAGGCUCACCUCCUUGGAGGAGACUGAAGAUGAAGCUCAAACUUUUUACCUUUAUCAGUGGGAGUUUCCUGCAACUGUUAAAUUAGAAAGAGUGAGUUGUAUGUAAACAUAUGUAAGAGUCUACCUAAAUGACAUGAUGUUGGUUCUAGCUAAGAUAUGUGCACUAAGAUAUGAAACCUUAUAGUUCUAAUGUUAGUCAUGUACUAUCUAAUAGUGUAAUGAUAUGUUCAGCUAGGGAUUUAGGAAUUUUGCAAAGGAUUGUAAAAAGAACAAAUAAUUGAAUAAAAGGAUGCAUUAACUUUGUGACAAAAAACAAUCCCUUCUCUCACAACAAGUAUUCUUCCACCAGUUUGAGUGAAGCGACUUCGCGACAAGUUGGGCUAUAGUUCUAUCAAACGAAAUAACCAAGGGAAACACUAACAUGUUAAUGUCAAGUGGGAUCUGCACCUUAGGUGUGCUAAGGAUAAAUAGAAACUGAAAUGAACGACAAGCAUGCUUUGCUAUUUCUGAUUUGCAUAUCAUUAUGUAAGGAGAUAUGUAACAAAUAUAUAGAACACCCAUAAAUAGAAACUAAAAUGAACACACCAAUUCAAUGAAAAAAGGUUUCUUAGUAUGAAAACAUGCCACCAACUAAAUUUUUUAAAAAUAAAUAGAAUUGACUGGACUGUACUACCAUCAUUAUUUCCAUGUGACUAGUGCACUCAGCGUGAUAAUCUCAUUAGUUAUUGGCAAUGUCAAUCAUCAGACCUAGAAAAGCACACUAAGAUAACAAUUUUUCAUAUGACCAUGAUCAUGUUGCAGACGAAAUCAAGUGCUAAAAUUGUGGAUCCACAUGAUGUAACAAAAGAAGGGCUACAAAUUUCAUAUAAGCCAAAAUUUGAACUCGCAUUGGUGCAUUUUAGUUGUUAUAAAAUGAGACUUAUUGUAAAAAGGGACAAUGUUGACGCACCUUAUGAGUUGAGCAGAUCUUCGGCAAAUGGAAUGACAGGGAAGAUGCGUUGAGAGUGGGGGUGGGUUGAGAAAAACUGGUCCAUCCUUUUAAUAGGAGUCACAACGAUACCCAUGGGGAAGAUGUUGGGUGGAAGGUUGGGCCGAAUUAGGAAUGCGCGCAUGGAUGGGGGUGCGGAUAGGGGCAUGGUGCAUGCGCAAGUUACCUACUAUGGAAGGGGGCCGCCUACUAUGGAAGCUCCACCUGUGGCACACUAACGAUGUGUAAGGAUUGAAGGUCGCCUCCAUCUAUGGAAGGAGACGCUGAGGUUGGAAGGAGGCGUGCUUCGGAGGCUGGGUCCAU
This 3342-nucleotide long non-coding RNA is filed under the name Zea mays. RNAcentral's name for it is "long non-coding RNA (ZMAY_LNC001580)". The record is from RNAcentral. Lineage: Eukaryota; Viridiplantae; Streptophyta; Magnoliopsida; Poales; Poaceae.